UACGAAGGGGGCGGGCGUUGUUCGGAAUUACUGGGCGUAAAGGGCGCGUAGGCGGCGAUCCGAGUCAGAUGUGAAAGUCCUGGGCUUAACCUGGGGACUGCAUUUGAUACUGGAUUGCUUGAAUUCGGGAGAGGAUAGCGGAAUUCCCAGUGUAGAGGUGAAAUUCGUAGAUAUUGGGAAGAACACCGGUGGCGAAGGCGGCUAUCUGGACCGACAUUGACGCUGAGGCGCGAAAGCGUGGGGAGCAAACAGG
RNAcentral lists this ribosomal RNA (253 nucleotides) under uncultured bacterium. RNAcentral's name for it is "partial 16S ribosomal RNA". It matches the Rfam family "Bacterial small subunit ribosomal RNA", at positions 524 to 776 of the family's 1533-position model. The record is from RNAcentral.